AGUGAACGCUGGCGGUAGGCCUAACACAUGCAAGUCGAACGGCAGCACAGUAAGAGCUUGCUCUUACGGGUGGCGAGUGGCGGACGGGUGAGGAAUACAUCGGAAUCUACUUUUUCGUGGGGGAUAACGUAGGGACACUUACGCUAAUACCGCAUACGACCUACGGGUGAAAGCAGGGGAUCUUCGGACCUUGCGCGAUUGAAUGAGCCGAUGUCGGAUUAGCUAGUUGGCGGGGUAAAGGCCCACCAAGGCGACGAUCCGUAGCUGGUCUGAGAGGAUGAUCAGCCACACUGGAACUGAGACACGGUCCAGACUCCUACGGGAGGCAGCAGUGGGGAAUAUUGGACAAUGGGCGCAAGCCUGAUCCAGCCAUACCGCGUGGGUGAAGAAGGCCUUCGGGUUGUAAAGCCCUUUUGUUAGGAAAGAAAAGCAGCAGGUUAAUACCCCGCUGUUCUGACGGUACCCAAAGAAUAAGCACCGGCUAACUUCGUG
This 492-nucleotide ribosomal RNA is filed under the name uncultured bacterium. RNAcentral describes it as "partial 16S ribosomal RNA". It matches the Rfam family "Bacterial small subunit ribosomal RNA", at positions 29 to 507 of the family's 1533-position model. The record is from RNAcentral.